Molecule: long non-coding RNA, 1215 nt
Filed under: Daucus carota (carrot)
Lineage: Eukaryota; Viridiplantae; Streptophyta; Magnoliopsida; Apiales; Apiaceae
Description: long non-coding RNA (DCAR_LNC000532)
Source: RNAcentral
CCGUAAUAGAGAAACUUCCGCUCGCUUGAACUUAAAUCCCACAUGCAUAGCCUAAAUAUUCACAAAAUGUACUAGAUAUUGAUAUGCUAGACAUAUAUGCACAAAACUUUUUAAACAUAGAUUUCUUUAAGGCAUAUAAGAGAUAAAAGGUGGGUUUAUUUAAGGGUAUUUUUUUAGACAUGAAUGUGAGAUUGUGAGGGCAUUUAGUGUGGAACUUUCACUCUAGCAAUCGAGGUUGUCUUUGUCAAGUAAAUCUCCUGCUACAUACUAAAAUAUGAUCAGUUGGAUGUUGUACCAGCUCAUCAUUGAUUAAGAUCUCACUUUAGCGCUCUUAUAAAAUGGACUAGAGGGAGUACUAAGAGCAAGAGUGAUUUAUUUUUAUAACUGAUUAAUUGAUGUGCUGAUCAUUCAACAGAUUAGUCUUCCUAGGGAUCAAAAGAUAUCAACACCCAAGUACUACUGAGCAUACACAUGUUCAGCCUGAUAAUGAACAAAGUGAUAGUGACAGAGACUUACAGUGUUACAGAGAUGGUUGUUCAUCAGGGCCCUGCUUUGACACGAGGAACUCAAGAGCGAGGGCGACAUGAAUUGCCCACAUUUAUGUAACUGGUGACUGGAUACUGCUUUGAAACUUUAACUGAGUGGCAUGUAUCACCAUUUAAGCUACCAAAAAAAUUUCAACAUGUAGAAGAACAAAAGUAAGUGGUUGUAGCUGAUAAGGGGCAACAAGCUAAAAUUAAGGAGAAAAUGUCUUGAGAUAACAGCAAGUGCUUUCAAUUGACAGAAAUUACGACCGCCUUUCAGUUUCUAGCAAACAUCAAAUGGUCAUAACAAAGUUUAACCAAGAUACAAAAAAAUAUACAUUAAUUAAAUACAGAAUCUCACCAAGUAUGGAAUACACAACCCCAAAAUCUUCCACCUAAAUUAUCAUCAGUCCAGGACUCCAGGGAAUUCUCAACAAUGGACUCAUCAUAGCAACACAAAUAUGGGUAUAAAAAUUGCUAGGACAGCUGUAUGAAGACAGAGUUAAGUGAGAGAGCAUACAAAGUGUUUCUGUUAUGUAUAUAAUGAUUUGCGGAAUGGUAGCGUAACUUUUAUGGUUCAAACCUGCAUUUCUCAGCAACUCAAACUUUGAUUUGCUAGCAACUGUGGUACCCUCUCCCUUGAUCCGGCCAGUUUCACCAGAUUAAUGGUCAGAAUAUACAAAUUUUAUAC